This 926-nucleotide long non-coding RNA is filed under the name Aquilegia coerulea. RNAcentral's name for it is "long non-coding RNA (ACOE_LNC001097)". The record is from RNAcentral. Lineage: Eukaryota; Viridiplantae; Streptophyta; Magnoliopsida; Ranunculales; Ranunculaceae.
AAGAAAUAUUACUUUGGCCGUUUCCGUGAAGUUUCAACCAGUAUAUAGAAAAAUUCUGAUUAAGUACAGAAAUCCACCAACCAAGCUCAACCACAAACUCCUUCCCUAACUACGUAUCCAAUUCAAUCUAUACUCAGCUUUAACCUUAUCAAAGCUCUGAAUCGGCAGUUCAUCCAAGUUAAAACCCCAGCUCUAAAUCAAGAUCAACCUUAUGAUUUAUGAAACUGUCCAAUUUCUAUAUAUAAUUGCACUGGUGACGCUCAUUGAUCAUCAUCAAUCAUCGAAAAACCAAUCCACAACUCAUUGAGUAAAUUCUUAAACUCUAUGGAUUAGUUAUAGCUAUUCGUAUAACAAACCAAAUCAAACCAAAAGAAAUGGUUGUAAACAAUAUCCGGUAAAAGAAGUAGCUCUAAAUACACAAAAUUCUAGCUAAUAUAGUUCAUUGAAGAUGGAAAUUUUUUUACAACAAAAACCUAAAUCUCAAAUUCUUCAGUAAACAAAAUGAGAAUUCAAAGAUGAUAAAUUCAUUGAUCAGUUCAGGUAUUCAUUAAAAAAUUCUAGGGUUUUUUUCAAUUAUCUAGGGCAAAUCUUUCCAAUCCAAAAACGUAGAUUACGGAAGAAGAUUAAGAUGAACUACCUGAAUCGAAGAAAUCGAAGAUCAAUUCAUUUGAAAUUUUUUCAGAAAGAAGAGAAAAAGGAAUAUCGAAACGAAUAACUCUCCCUUCUGGAAGAGUUUUUUUUGUUGCAGACUUGCAGAGACAAAGCGCGGAGGAGAGAAAUGACGUUUUCGGUAAGAGAGAGAGAGAGAGAGAGAGAGAGAGAGAGAUUGAAGACCAGAGUUUUUAUUUAAUAGUUGUCGUUGAUUUGAAAAAAAAUACAAUCUGUGAUGAUUGAUGAGAUCAAUCAAUGGUCGUGAUAUGAGUUUG